RNAcentral lists this ribosomal RNA (429 nucleotides) under Bacteroidota bacterium. RNAcentral's name for it is "Bacteroidetes bacterium partial 16S ribosomal RNA". It matches the Rfam family "Bacterial small subunit ribosomal RNA", at positions 355 to 776 of the family's 1533-position model. Lineage: Bacteria; Pseudomonadati; Bacteroidota. The record is from RNAcentral.
UAGGGAAUCUUCCGCAAUGGACGCAAGUCUGACGGAGCAACGCCGCGUGAGUGAAGAAGGAUUUCGGUUCGUAAAACUCUGUUGUUAGAGAAGAACAGCGCAUAGAGUAACUGUUAUGCGUGUGACGGUAUCUAACCAGAAAGCCACGGCUAACUACGUGCCAGCAGCCGCGGUAAUACGUAGGUGGCAAGCGUUGUCCGGAUUUAUUGGGCGUAAAGCGAGCGCAGGCGGUCAAUUAAGUCUGAUGUGAAGGCCCCCGGCUCAACCGGGGAGGGUCAUUGGAAACUGGUUGACUUGAGUGCAGAAGAGGAGAGUGGAAUUCCAUGUGUAGCGGUGAAAUGCGUAGAUAUAUGGAGGAACACCAGUGGCGAAGGCGACUCUCUGGUCUGUAACUGACGCUGAGGUUCGAAAGCGUGGGUAGCAAACAGG